RNAcentral lists this ribosomal RNA (756 nucleotides) under uncultured Tomentella. Its description in RNAcentral is "eukaryotic LSU rRNA". The stretch from base 233 to 386 matches the Rfam family "5.8S ribosomal RNA". The record is from RNAcentral. Lineage: Eukaryota; Fungi; Basidiomycota; Agaricomycetes; Thelephorales; Thelephoraceae.
UUCGUAGUGACCUGCGGAAGGAUCAUUACUGAAUUGUCAACAAGAGUUGUUGCUGGUCCCCAAAUGGGGACACGUGCACGCUCUGUUAACACAUCCACUCACACCCUGUGCACCCUCUGUAGUUCUAUGGUUGGGGGGGGACCUGUCCUCUCCUGCUGUGGUUCUGCAUCUUUACAUACACACUGUAACAAAGUCUCAUGGAAUGCAUGCCGCGUUUAACGCAAUAAAAUACAACUUUCAGCAACGGAUCUCUUGGCUCUCGCAUCGAUGAAGAACGCAGCGAAAUGCGAUAAGUAAUGUGAAUUGCAGAAUUCAGUGAAUCAUCGAAUCUUUGAACGCACCUUGCGCCCUUUGGCAUUCCGAAGGGCAUGCCUGUUUGAGUAUCAUGAACACCUCAACUCUUCAUGGUUUUCCAUGAUGAGCUUGGACUUUGGGGGUCUUGCUGGCCUGCGGUCAGCUCCUCUCAAAUGAAUCAGCUUACCAGUGUUUGGUGGGCAUCACAGGUGUGAUAACUAUCUGCGCUUGUGGUUUUCCACCAAGUAACCUUCAGCAGUGGAGGUUCACUGGAGCUCACAGACGUCUCUCCUCAGUGAGGACAGCCCUUUGAAUGUUUGAUCUCAAAUCAGGUAGGACUACCCGCUGAACUUAAGCAUAUCAAUAAGCGGAGGAAAAGAAACUAACAAGGAUUCCCCUAGUAACUGCGAGUGAAGCGGGAAGAGCUCAAAUUUAAAAUCUGGCGUGCCUCUGGUCGUCCGA